UCUGGUGAGGUCGGGGGAGCUGGGAUGGCCUUGUGCUGUGGCUAGAUUGCAGCCGUGUGGCCCGCCUGCGAGCGGCGCAGCUGAUUAGGUGACUCUGUUACGCUGCUUGAGCGCGUGUGCACACUAGAACUGCGAACUUUGGUUCCAGAGUCCGGAGUCUUCCUGGAACACAGAGGCUCUGAUUUCUGUGCAGCUGGUCGCAGCUCUGAUGGUUUCUGCGAAAACCUGCUGUUUAGGGGUCCUGUCGCUCGCUCUGAGAUGUUGCAUUCUGUCUAGAGACAGGGUCUCCUGAGCUGCUUAGGACCUCGCUAAGUUGCUGAGGCUGGCCUUGAAUUUGCCAUCCUCCUGCCUUUGCCUCCAGAGCCACUGGGAUUACAGUUUAGGGUCUAUGAAUGAAAAUGGAGGCAUUUGGAGGCAUUUCUAUUUUUGCUACAUUGGAAGAAUACACAUCUUGAAAAAUUCUGCCACCACUAAAUACCAAGAAAUGCUAAGUAUAAAAAGUAGAGUUUUAUAAUGUGUGAGUAAUCUCUGAAAAAAAUUAAAGGAAAUCCCCUGUGGAUGAAAAAAUAAGGAAGGAGCUUCAAAAAGCCUCAGAGCAGCCAAUGAAAUGACAGACUACAUACAAAGUUAUCAGCAAUUACAUUAAAGCAAUAUUCUUAACAAUGGAAGCAAACACUAAGGAAAAAUAACUGCCAACUAGUCAUUCUAUCAUUCAAGAACUAUGGUAAAAUAAAGAUGUUUUCAAAUGAACAGAAACUCAAAGUAUGAACUACCAAGAGACACCUAUGACAACAGCUUCCAAAGGAUUUCUUCAGGAAGAAUAAUAAGGGUGCCAGAAAGGACAUUGGAGAUGAAAAAAGAAAUGUUUCUGAAGAUUCCUCAUUCUGUGACAAAAUUGAUCAUCAGAGAAGAGUAAGAAUUUCUUUUUUAAAAAUUAGAGAUUUGAUACAGCUGUCAUAAAUAAUUCAUACCACCUAAAAGAACAUGUAGCAAAUAAAAUCACAUACAGAAGCUGAAAAAAUAAAAUACUGUAUAAUCCA
Long non-coding RNA from Marmota monax (woodchuck), 1040 nucleotides. RefSeq lists it as uncharacterized. NCBI's taxonomy places the organism in Eukaryota, Metazoa, Chordata, Mammalia, Rodentia, Sciuridae. The transcript has 5 exons. The record is from RefSeq and is a predicted model, not a curated record.